This 253-nucleotide ribosomal RNA is filed under the name uncultured bacterium. Its description in RNAcentral is "partial 16S ribosomal RNA". It matches the Rfam family "Bacterial small subunit ribosomal RNA", at positions 524 to 776 of the family's 1533-position model. The record is from RNAcentral.
UACAGAGGGUGCGAGCGCUAAUCGGAGUUACUGGGCGUAAAGGGCGCGUAGGCGGUUUAAUAAGUGAGAUGUGAAAUCCCUGGGCUUAACCUAGGAACUGCAUCUCAUACUGUUAGGCUAGAGUAUUGUAGAGGGUAGUGGAAUUUCCGGUGUAGCGGUGAAAUGCGUAGAGAUCGGAAGGAACACCAGUGGCGAAGGCGGCUACCUGGACAAAUACUGACGCUGAGGUACGAAAGCGUGGGGAGCAAACAGG